GACGAACGCUGGCGGCGUGCCUAAUACAUGCAAGUAGAACGCUGAAGGAGGAGCUUGCUUCUCUGGAUGAGUUGCGAACGGGUGAGUAACGCGUAGGUAACCUGCCUGGUAGCGGGGGAUAACUAUUGGAAACGAUAGCUAAUACCGCAUAAUAGCAGUUGUUGCAUGACAACUGUUUGAAAGGUGCAAUUGCACCACUACCAGAUGGACCUGCGUUGUAUUAGCUAGUUGGUGGGGUAACGGCUCACCAAGGCGACGAUACAUAGCUGACCUGAGAGGGUGAUCGGCCACACUGGGACUGAGACACGGCCCAGACUCCUACGGGAGGCAGCAGUAGGGAAUCUUCGGCAAAGGACGGAAGUCUGACCGAGCAACGCCGCGUGAGUGAAGAAGGUUUUCGGAUCGUAAAGCUCUGUUGUAAGAGAAGAACGAGUGUGAGAGUGGAAAGUUCACACUGUGACGGUAUCUUACCAGAAAGGGACGGCUAACUACGU
Molecule: ribosomal RNA, 494 nt
Filed under: uncultured bacterium
Lineage: Bacteria
Description: partial 16S ribosomal RNA
Rfam family: Bacterial small subunit ribosomal RNA
Source: RNAcentral